CUUCAGCAUAGCUGUGUGAAUCCAGACACACCGUAAGAGUAGGACACACCAUCCAUGUAUCUGGUACAUUUACACUCUGAACCAAAGGUCCCCAACCACUGGGGCAGGGACCAGUACUGGGCAGUGGUACUGAGAGCUCUGACUGUACUGGAUGUUUUUGGCAGCGCGUCUGUUCUGCUUCAGAUUUAUGCUGCCGGACUGGGACGUGACUUUCAUGUGCCACAACUAAAAUGAUACACAGUACCUGCAUGUUGGCAAAGGAGGUCUGAGGAGCCAGUCUGAUUCUCUCUCUCUCAUUCUGCUGUGCUGCUCGUUCGGCUGCUCGCUCGCUCCCUGGUGCUCUCUUAUCUGCCACAGGACUGUCUGAGGA
Long non-coding RNA from Cynoglossus semilaevis (tongue sole), 370 nucleotides. RefSeq lists it as uncharacterized. The record is from RefSeq and is a predicted model, not a curated record. NCBI's taxonomy places the organism in Eukaryota, Metazoa, Chordata, Actinopteri, Pleuronectiformes, Cynoglossidae. The transcript is spliced from 3 exons.